CGCGCUUUUUUUAAAUGGCAGACGUUAUUUUCUUGUUCAAUCGCGUAUGAGCUUUAUCGAACCACAAAAUGUAGUCGCACCCAAAAUAGAUGUUGCUCACUACCAGGAGGGAGAUCUCAUCAAAGCCACUUACCAAAAACAAACAUACGAUGCGGUGAUCAGUGAAAUCCAUCAUGACGAGGUUUCUCUUAAAGCAAGCAAAGCGACCGCCUAAGCAUGCUUUCGAGGCAACUUAAGAUAGGAAAAAAACUCAAGAGUUCAGUGAUCAAACACCAACAGAGCCUCGUGAUAAGUUGCCUGUA
Molecule: long non-coding RNA, 302 nt
Organism: Dreissena polymorpha
Lineage: Eukaryota; Metazoa; Mollusca; Bivalvia; Myida; Dreissenidae
Exons: 3
Source: RefSeq, a predicted model, not a curated record